This 435-nucleotide ribosomal RNA is filed under the name uncultured bacterium. RNAcentral's name for it is "partial 16S ribosomal RNA". It matches the Rfam family "Bacterial small subunit ribosomal RNA", at positions 29 to 507 of the family's 1533-position model. The record is from RNAcentral.
AGCGAACGCUGGCGGCAGGCUUAACACAUGCAAGUCGAGCGGGCAUCUUCGGAUGUCAGCGGCAGACGGGUGAGUAACACGUGGGAACGUACCCUUCGGUUCGGAACAACUCUGGGAAACUGGAGCUAAUACCGGAAACGCCCCUAUGGGGAAAGGUUUCCUGCCGAAGGAACGGCCGGCGUCUGAUUAGCUAGGUGGUGGGGUAACGGCCUACCAAGGCGACGAUCAGUAGCUGGUCUGAGAGGCUGAUCAGCCACACUGGGACUGAGACACGGCCGAGACUCCUACGGGAGGCGGCAGUGGGGAAUAUUGGACAAUGGGCGCAAGCCUGAUCCAGCCAUGCCGCGUGAGUGAUGAAGGCCUUAGGGUUGUAAAGCUCUUUUGUCCGGGACGAUAAUGACGGUACCGGAAGAAUAAGCCCCGGCUAACUUCGUG